AGAGGAGCUGGGAGGAUG
Molecule: microRNA, 18 nt
Filed under: Gallus gallus (chicken)
Lineage: Eukaryota; Metazoa; Chordata; Aves; Galliformes; Phasianidae
Description: gga-miR-6583-5p
Source: miRBase by way of RNAcentral